UUGGCAGGGAGGCAGUCUGUCUCUGAUUGGCAGGGAGGCAGUCUGUCUCUGAUUGGCAGGGAGGCAGUCUGUCUCUGAUUGGCAGGGAGGCAGUCUGUCUCUGAUUGGCAGGGAGGCAGUCUGUCUCUGAUUGGCAGGAGGCAGUCUGUCUCUGAUUGGCAGGGAGGCAGUCUGUCUCUGAUUGGCAGGGAGGCAGUCUGUCUCUGAUUGGCAGGGAGGCAGUCUGUCUCUGAUUGGCAGGGAGGCAGUCUGUCUCUGAUUGGCAGGGAGGCAGUCUGUCUCUGAUUGGCAGGGAGGCAGUCUGUCUCUGAUUGGC
Molecule: long non-coding RNA, 316 nt
Organism: Oncorhynchus keta (chum salmon)
Lineage: Eukaryota; Metazoa; Chordata; Actinopteri; Salmoniformes; Salmonidae
Exons: 3
Source: RefSeq, a predicted model, not a curated record